Molecule: ribosomal RNA, 300 nt
Filed under: uncultured bacterium
Lineage: Bacteria
Description: bacterial SSU rRNA
Rfam family: Bacterial small subunit ribosomal RNA
Source: RNAcentral
CAUAUUAGAAUUUGUUUAGUAGUCUAAGAUAUGCAGGUUGAAAGACCUGAUUAAUACUGGAUAUAAAAAGACUGUAAGUUGCUACUAAGUAAGCUGGUACAAGAUUAAGUAGUUGGUUAAGGUAAUGGCUUACCAAGCUUAUGAUCUUUAGCUGGUCUGGAAGGACGGCCAGCCACAUUGGGACUGAGACAAGGCCCAAACUCCUACGGGGGUCAGCAGUGAGGAAUAUUGGACAAUGGGCUAACGCUUGAUCCAGCGACGCCUUGUUUGAGGAAGUAGGCAUAACGUCGUGAACCAAUU